This 93-nucleotide microRNA precursor is filed under the name Canis lupus dingo (dingo). RNAcentral describes it as "mir-8799 microRNA precursor family". It matches the Rfam family "mir-8799 microRNA precursor family". Lineage: Eukaryota; Metazoa; Chordata; Mammalia; Carnivora; Canidae. The record is from Rfam by way of RNAcentral.
GAGGAGGGCAGGGUCCUGGGCUGUGUCCCCCAGCGCCCUGGGAUCAGGGGUCUGCGCCACUGGAAUCUCGCUCCUGGGGCCUGGCAGCGCCCU